This 425-nucleotide ribosomal RNA is filed under the name Exiliniscus sp. Its description in RNAcentral is "partial 16S ribosomal RNA". Lineage: Eukaryota; Metazoa; Arthropoda; Malacostraca; Isopoda; Nannoniscidae. The record is from RNAcentral.
GACCGUGCUAAGGUAGCAUAAUCAUUUGUCUUAUAAUAGAAGACUGGAAUGAAAGAAUUGAUAAUAUUAGAGCUUUUAUAAUUAUUUAUGAAAAUUAAUAUUUGCUUUAAAAAGAGCAACUUUUUAAAAAGACGAGAAGACCCUAUAAAACUUUAUUAAAAUUGUGAACAAAUUAAAUUUUGUAAUUAUUUUUACAAGUUAAUUAAGCUGGGGCGGCAUUUAAUUUCACUCAUAAAAAAAAUUAACAUUGAAAAUGAGAAGGUUAGAUCUUAAGAAAAAAUUGAGUAAGUUACUUUAGGGAUAACAGCACAAUUUUUUCAUAUAGUUCUUAUAGAAGGAAAAGACUUGUGACCUCGAUGUUGAAUUGAGAGGCCUAAUUUAAGCWAAAAUAAAUUAAGGGGGUCUGUUCGACCUUUAAUUUCUCA